Molecule: transfer RNA, 69 nt
Filed under: Astalotermes sp. C JRA-2021a
Lineage: Eukaryota; Metazoa; Arthropoda; Insecta; Blattodea; Termitidae
Description: tRNA-Gln
Rfam family: tRNA
About the family: Transfer RNA (tRNA) molecules are approximately 80 nucleotides in length. Their secondary structure includes four short double-helical elements and three loops (D, anti-codon, and T loops).
Source: RNAcentral
UAUAUCUUGGUGUAUGGUGCACAAUAGCUUUUGAUGCUUAAGGUGACAGUUUAAUUCUGUUAGAUAUAA